UAAUGUUUAUAGGGGAGGUGUAUAUAUUCAGAGCCAUAUCCCUGUAAUGUUUAUAGGGGAGGUGUAUAUAUUCAGAGCCAUAUCCCUGUAAUGUUUAUGGGGGAGGUGUAUAUAUUCAGAGCCAUAUCCCUGUAAUGUUUAUGGGGGAGGUGUAUAUAUUCAGAGCCAUAUCCCUGUAAUGUUUAUAUGUAUUGAUCACAUUUUUAUCUAAUACUGUAGAACUUUGUUCUAAAGCUGUAUCUGUACCCAUUGAAUGCAGUGAUUACCAUAUAGUGGCUAUAUCCAGGAAAGGCAAAGUUCCAACAGCUGGUGCCUAAAAUAGUGUAUAAGAGAUCAUACAUAACAUUUAGCUGUGACUCUUAUGUGGAUGAUGUUAAAAUUAUGUGUUGGUCUGAUGUGAUUAAUAAGGAGCAUCCAGAUGCUGCACUUGAUGAAUUUAUGAAAUUGCUUCUUCCAAUGAUUGAUAAACAUGAACCUGUUAAGAAACUGACCGUUAGAACUGUUAAGGCUCCACGGAUUGAUGAGGAACUGACCGUUAGAACUGUUAAGGCUCCACGGAUUGAUGAGGAACUGACCGUUAGAACUGUUAAGGCUCCAUGGAUUGAUGAGGAACUGACCGUUAGAACUGUUAAGGCUCCGCGGAUUGAUGAGGAACUGACCGUUAGAACUGUUAAGGCUCCACGGAUUGAUGAGGAACUGAAAACCUGUAUGGUUGAAAGAGACGGGGAUAAAGGAGUGGCUAAUAAGACUGGCUGCAAAUGAAAAAAUUAUGUGACUGAACUCAACAAAAAGUAGAAACUGUGUUAUGAUGCCGAGAUGAAUGAUUGCAUAAAACUUUGGCGUACUUUAAAUGAAACUAUGGGCACAAAGACAUUCAACUCCAUCAUUCAUCACAAAACCAUUUGAUGUUGCCAAUUACUUCAUUUGGCAAAGUGGGCAAGAAAUGCCAACAACAAACAGUGAGACGUAUUCAUGCAUAAAAAAACGAAUAAUGAAAGAAAAGCAUUGCAAGUUCGAAUAUUAUAAAGUUAGUGUGGGAGAGGUAGAAUUGUUAUUGAUAAAUAAUGACAAACUUCCUGGCAUUGACAACUUAGAUGGAAAGUUGAGGAUGGUAUCUGACUCUAUAGCCACUCCUAUCUGUCAUAUCUUUAACCUGAGACGAGAGGAAAGUCUUUGUCCUCAGGCCUGGAGGGAAGCCAAAGUCAUUCUGCUACCCAGGAGUGGUAAAGCGGCCUUUACUGGAUCUAACAGCAGACCUAUCAGCUUGCUGCCAGCUCUUAGCAAACUGUUGGAAUAAAUAGUGUUUGUAUCAAGGCACAAGGCGAGUCCCAAUCACAGGGACAGGUGAAACCCAAUCACAGGGACAGGUGAAACAGACACAAGGUGAGACCCAGAUGCAGACACGGGAGGCAGAUGGUUGGAGUCUUACAAUGUUUAAUCAUUCAAAAGGAGUAGGCAAGAGAAUGGUCGUGGACAGGCAAAAAGGUCAUAACCAGAUCAGAGUCCAAUAGGUACCGAAGGGCAGGAAGAUUCAAGGUCAGGGAAGGCAGGAUGAUCAGGCAGGCAGGAAAGGAGUCCAGAGUCAAGCAGGGGUCAGAAUCGGGAAGACUAGCAAAAGAGAAUAGAAAAAGCACUCUGGUUGACUUGACUAAACAUACAAGACGAACUGGCACAAAGAAACAGGAAACAGGGAUAAAUACACUGGUACAGAGAGACAGGAAACACAGGGAUAAAUACACUGGUACAGAGAGACAGGAAACACAGGGAUAAAUACACUGGCACAGAGAGACAGGAAACACAGGGAUAAAUACACUGGUACAGAGAGACAGGAAACACAGGGAUAAAUACACUGGUACAGAGAGAGAGGAAACACAGGGAUAAAUACACUGGUACAGAGAGACAGGAAACACAGGGAUAAAUACACUGGUACAGAGAGACAGGAAACACAGGGAUAAAUACACUGGGGAAAAUAAGCGACACCUGGAGGGGUGGAGACAAUCACAAGGACAGGUGAAUUAGAUCAGGGCGUGACAGUUUGACCAAAUACAAUGCUAUUUCUCUGUAAACAAAUGAACAACAGACUUUCAGCAUGCUUAUAGAGAAGGGCACUCAACAUGUACUGCACUGACACAAACGGUUGAAAGAAGUUGAUAAUAAGAAGAUUGUGGGAGCUGAACUGUUAGAUUUCAGUGCAGCCUUUGAUAUUAUUGACCAUAACCUGUUGUUGAGAAAGCAGAUGUGUUAUGGCUUUUCAACCUCUGCCAUAUCGUGGAUUCAGAACUAUGUAUCUAAUAGAACUCAAAGGGUUUUAUUUAAUGGAAGCGUCUCUAAUGUGAAACAUGUAAAGUGUGGUGUACCGCAGGGCAGCUCUCUAGGCCCUCUACUCUUUUCUAUUUUUACCAAUGACCUGCCACUGGCAUUAAACAAAGCAUGUGUGUCCAUGUAUGCUGAUGAUUAAAUCAUAAACGCAUCAGCAACCACAGCAGUCUGUUUUGGAAUGUGGCCAGUAAUAAACUGGUCCUGAACAUCUAAAACUAAGAGCAUUGUAUUUGGG
This 2554-nucleotide long non-coding RNA is filed under the name Salmo salar (Atlantic salmon). Its description in RNAcentral is "lncRNA (ENSSSAG00000091947.1)". Lineage: Eukaryota; Metazoa; Chordata; Actinopteri; Salmoniformes; Salmonidae. The record is from RNAcentral.